This 526-nucleotide ribosomal RNA is filed under the name uncultured bacterium. Its description in RNAcentral is "bacterial SSU rRNA". It matches the Rfam family "Bacterial small subunit ribosomal RNA", at positions 777 to 1318 of the family's 1533-position model. The record is from RNAcentral.
AAUAGAUACCCUGGUAGUCCUAGCUGUAAACGAUGACCACCAGGUGUGGGAGGUAUCGACCCCUUCCGUGCCGCCGUUAACGCAGUAAGUGGUCCGCCUGGGGAGUACGGUCGCAAGAUUAAAACUCAAAGGAAUUGACGGGGACCCGCACAAGCAGCGGAGCGUGUGGUUUAAUUCGAUGCGACGCGAAGCACCUUACCAGGGUUUGACAUGCCAGCAAAACCUCCUGAAAGGGAGGGUCCUUCGGGGUGCUGGCACAGGUGCUGCAUGGCUGUCGUCAGCUCGUGCCGUGAGGUGUUGGGUUAAGUCCCGCAACGAGCGCAACCCCAUGCUCGGUUACAGGUGUCCGAGCAGACUGCCACUCUCAAAGUGGAGGAAGGUGGGGAUGACGUCAAGUCAGCACGGCCCUGACAUCCUGGGCGACACACACGCUACAAUGGCCACCACAAUGGGACGCCAACCCGCAAGGGGGAGCCAAGCCCAACAAAGGUGGUCUCAGUUCGGAUGGUGGGCUGCAACUCGCCCG